CAUAAGAUUCAAAUUUGUAGAGAGAAAAAGAAAGAGAAAAUAUAUUAUUUUCUUGUUGUCCAAAAUUCAAGAAUUAAUUUCUGAAUUAAUUGAAAGAAGGUGUCCACACACCGGUGUAGUCUUUGCGUUGGAGAAUACCAUAGAACGCUUGAAAGCUUGAAACACCAAGAUUUUUGCAAUUAAAGGAGACGGAAGUUCGCAGAUCAGAGUUAAUUCAAGAUUGAUCAUUGAAUUUAGGUAAAAGAUUUGAAUCCUUUAAUUUUGUUAUAACACACACGUGAACAUCUAGACAAUCUUGUUUAUUAAAUUAAAGAAACUUUUAAUUUCUGAUUAAUUCCGCUUUCGCAUUCCAACACACCUUUCCCCCUUUCCAAACACCCUUUAGGUGACAGCACCUCAAUAAAGACAUUUUUGUUUUUCUCACAGCACAUGAAUUGAAUGUGACAGGACAUUUAGCUCUUUGGCAAGUAUUUCUGAAGUGUUAUUCAAUUAUUUUUUCCGCUGUGGAUUAAAGGAUUUCACCAUUUCCCUGAUGGAGACUCGAACAAACUUUUUAAGAAGGUUUUGUUCUUACCACUUGACCUAAGUCUUGAUCUUAACCCUUGUGUCAAUUUACUUGACUUUAGAUGGUUAGUCUCAAGUAGGGCCCAUUCGAAGAUGUAAUUAUUAAUAAAUGAGUUAUAAU
This 685-nucleotide long non-coding RNA is filed under the name Olea europaea subsp. europaea. The record is from RNAcentral. Lineage: Eukaryota; Viridiplantae; Streptophyta; Magnoliopsida; Lamiales; Oleaceae.